UUUAUGGAGAGUUUGAUCCUGGCUCAGAGUGAACGCUGGCGGCGUGCCUAAUACAUGCAAGUCGAACGAUGAAGCUUCUAGCUUGCUAGAAGUGGAUUAGUGGCGCACGGGUGAGUAAGGUAUAGUUAAUCUGCCCUACACAAGAGGACAACAGUUGGAAACGACUGCUAAUACUCUAUACUCCUGCUUAACACAAGUUGAGUAGGGAAAGUUUUUCGGUGUAGGAUGAGACUAUAUAGUAUCAGCUAGUUGGUAAGGUAAUGGCUUACCAAGGCUAUGACGCUUAACUGGUCUGAGAGGAUGAUCAGUCACACUGGAACUGAGACACGGUCCAGACUCCUACGGGAGGCAGCAGUAGGGAAUAUUGCGCAAUGGGGGAAACCCUGACGCAGCAACGCCGCGUGGAGGAUGACACUUUUCGGAGCGUAAACUCCUUUUCUUAGGGAAGAAUUCUGACGGUACCUAAGGAAUAAGCACCGGCUAACUCCGUGCCAGC
Molecule: ribosomal RNA, 496 nt
Filed under: Campylobacter coli
Lineage: Bacteria; Pseudomonadati; Campylobacterota; Epsilonproteobacteria; Campylobacterales; Campylobacteraceae
Also listed under: 1 other name
Description: bacterial SSU rRNA
Rfam family: Bacterial small subunit ribosomal RNA
Source: RNAcentral